UACGUAGGGCGCAAGCGUUGUCCGGAAUUAUUGGGCGUAAAGAGCUCGUAGGCGGUUUGUCGCGUCUGUCGUGAAAACUCGGGGCUUAACCCCGGGCCUGCAGUGGGUACGGGCAGACUAGAGUGCGGUAGGGGAGACUGGAAUUCCUGGUGUAGCGGUGAAAUGCGCAGAUAUCAGGAGGAACACCGGUGGCGAAGGCGGGUCUCUGGGCCGUAACUGACGCUGAGGAGCGAAAGCAUGGGGAGCGAACAGG
This 253-nucleotide ribosomal RNA is filed under the name uncultured bacterium. Its description in RNAcentral is "partial 16S ribosomal RNA". It matches the Rfam family "Bacterial small subunit ribosomal RNA", at positions 524 to 776 of the family's 1533-position model. The record is from RNAcentral.